Molecule: non-coding RNA, 477 nt
Organism: Leptonychotes weddellii (Weddell seal)
Lineage: Eukaryota; Metazoa; Chordata; Mammalia; Carnivora; Phocidae
Source: RefSeq, a predicted model, not a curated record
AGAGCCCUUUGCCAAUGGCAUCGUGAGGGGAGCUGGCUACAAUGUUGGACAAUCAGUGACCUUCGAGUGCCUCCCAGGGUAUCAACUGAUUGGCCACCCCGUCCUCACAUGUCAGCAUGGCACCAACCGGAACUGGGACCACCCCCUGCCCAGGUGUGAAGUCCCCUGUGGUGGGAACAUCACCUCUUCCAAUGGUACUGUGUACUCCCCUGGCUUCCCCAGUCCAUACUCCAGCUCCCAGGACUGUGUCUGGCUGAUCACCGUGCCCAUUGGUCAUGGCAUCCGGCUCAACAUCAGCCUGCUGCAGACAGAGCCCUCCGGAGACUUCAUCACCGUCUGGGAUGGGGCCCAGCAGACAGCUCCACAGCUUGGAGUCUUCAGCCGGAGCUUGGCCAAGAAAACAUUGCACAGCUCGUCCAACCAGGUCCUGCUUAAGUUCCACCAUGAUGCAGCCAUGGGUGGGAUCUUCGCCAUUGC